This is a long non-coding RNA of Neofelis nebulosa (Clouded leopard), 434 nucleotides long. RefSeq lists it as uncharacterized. NCBI's taxonomy places the organism in Eukaryota, Metazoa, Chordata, Mammalia, Carnivora, Felidae. The transcript is spliced from 3 exons. The record is from RefSeq and is a predicted model, not a curated record.
AAAUCUCCCUCUGCAUAGACUUGAUGUGACCUUUAACUGAAUUAAUAUAUGGAAAGCAUUUGGAACAGCUUGACAAGGAACCCCUGCAAUUUCAAACUCCCUACUGCCUCAUUGGACCAAAACAUUAUUAUACGAAUUACCAUUCCUAGAGCAUUGCCUGAAGGAUAUGCCUGAAUACCCUCUGAUCAGAGCUGGCGGACAGAGUCAGGCUGGCAGGUGACAAGAUCCCUCCGGGGGUGCCCCGUUGAGAAGGGCUGUGAGGCUCAUUCCCUCCGGAAGAGAGUUUAGUGACCACUGCUGACCUCUGCCCCGGCCUUGGACUGGAAGCAAUGGUGUGCCUGUCGGGAAGGAAGCUUGGGGUCGGAUUUCACAGCUACAGUAUUAUCUUCAUGGCUUGCAAGAUGGAUGUUUCUAAAUCACACACACACACACAC